AGCUGUUAUGAAAUUGACCAUUUGUUACAAUAGAGAAGAUAAUUUGUGUGCCCUGCUUUCCAAAAUGGACUUCUGCUCAGGAUGCCAGAAAGUACAGAAUCAAUGCUAACAGUUAAUCACAGAACUUAUUAAGGGUCCUCGAUGACUUUCCCAUGUAAACUUUCCCAGGAGAACAAUGAACUGCAUGUUGAACAGGACUCGAAACUUCUGUAACAGAUGGAAACUGCUACUUACUAGUCCUCAGAAAGAAGUCUCCUCUGGACCUACUUAGCAACAGAUGAGUCACGGUCCUCCUCUGACAGGAAGCACAGAGCUCCUCACUCUCGCACAUCCCAAACUGGCCAUGGUGUUGCUUUAAAUAGGAACUGGAGGAAGAAAUUGUGAUCAAGGGCCAGCAUAUGUCUGAGUGCCCCCGCAAAGAUCUGGCUCUGUUCUGCAGUCACAAGAUUUCUGAGGUUUUGCAGGAGUCAUU
Molecule: long non-coding RNA, 472 nt
Organism: Lutra lutra (Eurasian river otter)
Lineage: Eukaryota; Metazoa; Chordata; Mammalia; Carnivora; Mustelidae
Exons: 3
Source: RefSeq, a predicted model, not a curated record